AAAUUGAAGAGUUUGAUCAUGGCUCAGAUUGAACGCUGGCGGCAGGCCUAACACAUGCAAGUCGAGCGGUAGCACAGAGAGCUUGCUCUCGGGUGACGAGCGGCGGACGGGUGAGUAAUGUCUGGGAAACUGCCUGAUGGAGGGGGAUAACUACUGGAAACGGUAGCUAAUACCGCAUAAUGUCGCAAGACCAAAGUGGGGGACCUUCGGGCCUCAUGCCAUCAGAUGUGCCCAGAUGGGAUUAGCUAGUAGGUGGGGUAACGGCUCACCUAGGCGACGAUCCCUAGCUGGUCUGAGAGGAUGACCAGCCACACUGGAACUGAGACACGGUCCAGACUCCUACGGGAGGCAGCAGUGGGGAAUAUUGCACAAUGGGCGCAAGCCUGAUGCAGCCAUGCCGCGUGUGUGAAGAAGGCCUUCGGGUUGUAAAGCACUUUCAGCGGGGAGGAAGGCGNNCGAUUGACGUUACCCGCAGAAGAAGCACCGGCUAACUCCGUGCCAGCAGCCGCGGUAAUACGGAGGGUGCAAGCGUUAAUCGGAAUUACUGGGCGUAAAGCGCACGCAGGCGGUCUGUCAAGUCGGAUGUGAAAUCCCCGGGCUCAACCUGGGAACUGCAUUCGAAACUGGCAGGCUAGAGUCUUGUAGAGGGGGGUAGAAUUCCAGGUGUAGCGGUGAAAUGCGUAGAGAUCUGGAGGAAUACCGGUGGCGAAGGCGGCCCCCUGGACAAAGACUGACGCUCAGGUGCGAAAGCGUGGGGAGCAAACAGGAUUAGAUACCCUGGUAGUCCACGCCGUAAACGAUGUCGAUUUGGAGGUUGUGCCCUUGAGGCGUGGCUUCCGGAGCUAACGCGUUAAAUCGACCGCCUGGGGAGUACGGCCGCAAGGUUAAAACUCAAAUGAAUUGACGGGGGCCCGCACAAGCGGUGGAGCAUGUGGUUUAAUUCGAUGCAACGCGAAGAACCUUACCUGGUCUUGACAUCCACAGAACUUUCCAGAGAUGGAUUGGUGCCUUCGGGAACUGUGAGACAGGUGCUGCAUGGCUGUCGUCAGCUCGUGUUGUGAAAUGUUGGGUUAAGUCCCGCAACGAGCGCAACCCUUAUCCUUUGUUGCCAGCGGUUAGGCCGGGAACUCAAAGGAGACUGCCAGUGAUAAACUGGAGGAAGGUGGGGAUGACGUCAAGUCAUCAUGGCCCUUACGACCAGGGCUACACACGUGCUACAAUGGCAUAUACAAAGAGAAGCGACCUCGCGAGAGCAAGCGGACCUCAUAAAGUAUGUCGUAGUCCGGAUUGGAGUCUGCAACUCGACUCCAUGAAGUCGGAAUCGCUAGUAAUCGUAGAUCAGAAUGCUACGGUGAAUACGUUCCCGGGCCUUGUACACACCGCCCGUCACACCAUGGGAGUGGGUUGCAAAAGAAGUAGGUAGCUUAACCUUCGGGAGGGCGCUUACCACUUUGUGAUUCAUGACUGGGGUGAAGUCGUAACAAGGUAACCGUAGGGGAACCUGCGGUUGGAUCACCUCCUUACCUUAAAGAA
This 1533-nucleotide ribosomal RNA is filed under the name Klebsiella pneumoniae. RNAcentral's name for it is "bacterial SSU rRNA". It matches the Rfam family "Bacterial small subunit ribosomal RNA". Lineage: Bacteria; Pseudomonadati; Pseudomonadota; Gammaproteobacteria; Enterobacterales; Enterobacteriaceae. The record is from RNAcentral.